UAGGGAAUAUUGGACAAUGGGGGCAACCCUGAUCCAGCCAUGCCGCGUGAGUGAUGAAGGCCUUCGGGUUGUAAAGCUCUUUCGUUGGGGACGAUAAUGACGGUACCCAAAGAAGAAGCCCCGGCAAACUUCGUGCCAGCAGCCGCGGUAAUACGAAGGGGGCUAGCGUUGUUCGGAAUUACUGGGCGUAAAGGGCGCGUAGGCGGCCUUUCAAGUCAGGCGUGAAAGCCCUGGGCUCAACCCAGGAACUGCGCUUGAGACUGUGAGGCUGGAGUGCGAGAGAGGUGAGUGGAAUUUCCAGUGUAGAGGUGAAAUUCGUAGAGAUUGGAAAGAACACCAGUGGCGAAGGCGGCUCACUGGCUCGCAACUGACGCUAAGGCGCGAAAGCGUGGGGAGCAAA
This 400-nucleotide ribosomal RNA is filed under the name uncultured bacterium. Its description in RNAcentral is "bacterial SSU rRNA". It matches the Rfam family "Bacterial small subunit ribosomal RNA", at positions 355 to 772 of the family's 1533-position model. The record is from RNAcentral.